CUACUGGGGUCUCUCUCCAUUCAUGCACAAGUAUUUCACCUUUUACUAAAGAUUCCUGCAGAGGGGAACGUUGACAAGUUCUUCUUAUCUUUGAAGGCUCUGCUAUGGCAGAGCU
Pygocentrus nattereri (red-bellied piranha) is the source of this 115-nucleotide small nuclear RNA. RefSeq annotates it as U5 spliceosomal RNA. NCBI's taxonomy places the organism in Eukaryota, Metazoa, Chordata, Actinopteri, Characiformes, Serrasalmidae. The transcript has a single exon. The record is from RefSeq and is a predicted model, not a curated record.